CUUAUUUCGUAUUUUAUUCAUUCAAAGUGUUAUUUUUCUUUUUUUUUUCUUUUUUGCUCUUUGCCUCCCCUCAGAAAGGCUGGCUGCCAAAUGUCUUCUGCCUGCCUCCGCAUUCUGCUGUCUUUCCUUCGAUCAGAUAUUUCUCUCAGUCACUCGAGGCAGACACUCUGAGCUAUAUCCUAAACUUGAGACAUGGAGAGAAAUGAAAAUAGAGGACAUGCAUGAAAAACAUUUACAAAAUGCCACGGAAGUUCCUCUGAAAGUGUGAAUACUGCAGGUCCAUCCUUCAGGCAGAAUUGAUUAUUUCACUGUGGCCAUUGUGCUAAAACUGCACCUCUAAGUCCCUCUGAAAGGAGGAGUCCAGCAAAGAGUGAAAUCCUUGAAGGUAGUCUUGCAAUGAAGAAUUUGUUGUCUCAGUAGUUGAGAUUCUUUUGGUCCUUUUUUCAACAGAAGAAGACCAAGUCAGAAAGUGAUUGGGCCUUCAGGAAGAUAGUUGUUAACUGUUUCCAGUAUACGGCUGGCAAAAUCACCUUUUCAGGAAAGUGAAAUCAAGAACUUUCUCUUCUCUCUCUGCUAAAAUACUACUAAAGGUUAUUAAAGACCUCAGCAAUGAAAAUUCUCCUGAAAGAAGAGGACAGAACUUCAAAGGAAAAUGAAAUUCCUGAUUAAAUUCAGCUGGGAUACUGGCUUCUUAAAAACCCCCUUUUACACAAAGAAAGAAGUGACCUUGCUUCCUCCAGAGUCUUAGCCAGUCUUGCUCCUUCCACAAGCUGCCUUAAGGCAUGUGUGCCUUAUACAUGCAGCCAUGUAGAGUGCAAGAGAAUAGUUUAUCCUACAACCCUAACAAAGUGUUCUGGGAAACAGAACUUAAGACUGGAUCUGGAGUCGACGUGGACACAGGUGGAGCUACAGUGGAGCCUGUUUAACAGCAGCACAACUCUUAAAGAUGACCUAAAUUGUACUACCAAGAUCUUUUUUUUUGCCCUUUUUUACAUCAAUGGCAUAGUCUAGUGACAACUAAAAAAUAUAUAGACCACCUUGGUAUGCAAGUAAAAUGCUUCAUAAGAACCUCGGAGACUGGAAUAAAUUACGGUGGAAGAUGGGGGAAUUGCUUCCUGGGGGCUUCAAGAACAGCAUCUUCAGGAGUUUUGGACAAACAUCUGCAUCUGUUAGGCCAUAGGUGGAGGUGAUCCUACCCAGAUAAGGAGAUGUAGAUUUGAUAAUCGCUCAGGAGUCAUAUGACUUGUUUGCCAGAUGUCAGUAGUGACAUUUCAGGUCACUUAACGUGAAGUUCUCAAAUGACUGGUGCAAAUGCUGAACUGUGUCUUUCUGCCUGGAUAUUAAAGAUCUGUAUUUCUUGCCAGUAUCAAGUGCAGAAAGCUGUUGUUCCGGUGUUUUGUCCCAGAGAGGGAUACGUUCCCUUAGCACCAUAUGUUUUGAGGUUGGGCAAAGCAUAAAAGGAAAAUCAUAAGGGGCUAUAUUUCUGCCUGGUCCUUAGUGAGAUCAUGAAGGGUCUCACAAAAGAUAAAUAUAAGCCACUUUGUUAUGCAUUUUCUUAACAUUAUAUUUGUGUUUAGCCCAUUCUGAACAAUGCAGGCAGGAAAACAAGAAGACUGACUUUGGUCUUAAGUCACUUGAAUUGCCACUGAAAGCACAUUUUCUGUGCCUUUUCAUUCCUACCAAAUGUUUCCUAAGUUUGCAGAGCACCAAGCACAGCAAGGCCUUGGUCCAUGACUAUUAACUUCGACCACUAUCGCAAUGCAAGUAAUACACAGCAGUAAUUUGUUGUGAAGCGGCAGAUCCAUGCUGUAUCAGUGAUACCCUGAGAAACGCAGGCGCGGUUUCAAAGCAGAAAUCGGAGUUGGCACACGGCCAGGCUGCUGGAGCCGUGCUCUGCUCGCUGUGAAAUGCGCCGUUUCUCUCAGAGGGGAGACGGUGGCACCUACUGAACGUGCUGUUUGACCAGCCACUUCUGCCUUGUUUCUAUACGUGGAAAAAACACUUCACACAUAAAGAUAUCUUGUGUUUGCUGACUGCAUUGUCACAAGAAGUUUCUUUUCAGCAGCGAAGAGCACCGAUUCAGAACUGUGAAUGCUGGAACCCCUCCAUAAUAAACUAGACUCUCCAGGAGAAAGAUAUUUCGAUAAAAAGCAAUCCAGAAUGUCUUCAGGCCUAGAAAUAACACAAGCUUCUCUCACACAUCUCUUCGCAUAUUGUCCAGGUACCUGUGGCUCCUCUCUCAAAGCCUGGAAGGAAGGUGGUCAUUUGCCCAGUCCAGUGGGGGCACGAGAGUCAUGAGCCCCCGCGACCACCCUCGCACCAGCUCCUCACAGCACAACCGGCUCCAUUCUCAUGGGCAAACGCAUCCGAAGACGUCCGGUGUGGACAGUGCGGAAGGGUGGAGCUGCCGGCCUCGCCGACUCAGCAGCGUUUCUGCGCUGUAGUAAAACUGCUACCUGGACGCGGGCGCUGUGGGAAGGCGGGUGCUGGAGGUUGUUCCUGCAGCAUUGUGCCAGGCUGCAAAACCCAGCAGCUGGAUGGUGUCUGUUAAAGAAAGAUUUUACAUUGUGUUGCCUAGAGGCAAAUGUUCAAGCAACAGUUAAAAUGGCUCAACAGCUCAUCCACUAGAAAACAGGGUUUUUUUCCAUAGUUACUUCCCAGUCUUGGAUAUUCAGUCCUACUCACUGCAGAGAUCCAAAACUGGCACAAGAGGCCUCUUAAGUAUUAGGCUGCCCUGUGUGCUUGGCACCAAAUUCAGACAAUUUUGAGAACGGUUCAGAUCUUCUGGAGUUUUUUGUGUGUGUAUGUGUGUAUUCCUUUCCAUAAGAAAGUAGUUCUAUUUUUAGGACUUGGCCCAAAUUGUUGAACCCAGUGGUUUGAGUUUUACUGUUGUUGUUUUUCCUCUCUUCAAUCAAAAUGAAGUGGUUCUGGCUGAUCUAAGCUGAGCAGUAGUGCUGAUUCUCUUAAAGUAAUACUCAAGGAGGUUUUGUGAGUGCAUCUGUGUGUAUAUGUGCAUGGAAAGUUUCUCUACGUUUCCUGAAAUAAAAGGGAUCUUUGGCUCGUCUAUGGUCUGUGCUUGUAAAUGUCUCAACUAAGAUUGUUUUUAUGGAAGACUGUCAAGUGGGGCAGGCCUAAAAUAUAGUAAAGUACAUUUUAUAUUUGAGGCUCAUCUCCCCAGUCUCUUCUGUUUUCUUUCUUGCUGCAGCUGUAUACCAUGCAUUGUCUAGUGUUUCAGUCGAUAAUCAGAUUUGUCUUCAGCCUUUACAGAUACCAGAAAACCCAAUUUUUAUCACCCGUGGAAAGUCAGAGAGCAUAACUAAAUCAUGACCAGAGCAGUGAUUGACACCACUCACCUUUGGCUACAGAGCAUGUGUGUGUCUUGACUACCCAAGGAUGAGAAAAAGUAUAGCUUCCUCUGCGUGGUGAUAUGCUUAGGCUAAUUAGUUUUUUUAGCCUUGCUGCUUUCAGGACUCAAGGGAUUAUGGUUAACAUGGAGAGCUACCCCUCUCUCCACUUUGUGUGUAGUGUAGGAAGUUGUCAUUUGCUCUCUCUUUGUCUUGGAGGGGCUGCCCUUCUGUUGCGCAGGGUGUCCGAGCAGAGAGGAGGACAAGUGCCAUCGCUUGCUGAUUUGGGAACUUUCCAAAGAAAUAGAGAAGGGCAGAUCUGAGCUCUUCUUCUUCCCCUUCCCAAGUACAAAGGUGAAAACAGUCAGCCACUUCCCACCUAAGUGCACAUGUCCACCAGACGACUCUGGACUGUCCUGUCUUUGCAGAGCGUUGCCAGAUCCCUCCACUCUGUGUUGUAGUUUGGGCUUUGAUUUGAAGAGAGGAAGGUGCCUUCUAAUA
Molecule: non-coding RNA, 3845 nt
Organism: Struthio camelus australis
Lineage: Eukaryota; Metazoa; Chordata; Aves; Struthioniformes; Struthionidae
Source: RefSeq, a predicted model, not a curated record